This is a long non-coding RNA of Pezoporus flaviventris, 2229 nucleotides long. RefSeq lists it as uncharacterized. Lineage: Eukaryota; Metazoa; Chordata; Aves; Psittaciformes; Psittacidae. The transcript is spliced from 2 exons. The record is from RefSeq and is a predicted model, not a curated record.
UUCACAAUACAGCUCACUCAGUAUUAAAUGGAGCAGAUCUGUACAGUUGUCAGUAAAGUAUUAGCUCCUUAGCAUUUUGUGUGUGUAUUUGUUCUUUUUGUUAAUUUUGAUUUUAGAUUAGGAUUUGAAAACAGUAUAUCCCCUUUGUGCAAAAGAUAAGAAAGUUCAUCAGGCCUAAUCCUGUGAUUUCUUGAAGCCAAGAAUGAUAAAGUUGACUCUCUUUUGGGUCUCUCUGGUAAUUCUAAUAAGUGUAAGGUUUCCCUUGCCUUCCACUCCUGCCAAAUUAGGUCUGGGAGUUCGUGCUGAGGCUGAGCUGAUCAUGGGAGUCAAGUGUCGAGUGUCAUAGCCAUGAUUGAAUUCAGGAAAAAACAAAUUUAAGAGAUAUUUGCACUUCCCUUUCAGAAGUACGUAAGAGUUGGCAACUAGAUUAUUUGUUCUGUGAAAAUUAUUUGGACUCACUAGAGCACUUGAGCCAACAAAUUCAGGUAGUGCCAAGUGCUGCUUUCAACUGCACAUAAUUAUAUGUGACUUCUGUCAUACAUUUGUUAUAACAAAAAAAAAGUUUAAAAUCAUUAUAAAUAUUAAAAUUGCUGUGAAAUGAGUACAUCAUUUUAAAAGUAAUCUAAAGCUAUAAUAAAUAAUUGUGAUUUACUAUUUUGCUUUAUAUCUUGGGAAUUAGAAUGUAGUAUCUUUACAGUUUCUGGCAAAUUUUUUUGACAAAGGUAUUGCUUGUCCUACCACAGCAAAUCUAGUGGUAUUAUGGAUUAAACUGGAAAGGGGAGGAGUGAUUCUUGUGAACUGGAGCAAAUACAAUACAGUAUUUAUAUGCUUAGGCAGUGGAGAAAUAGGAAGAAUAAAGCUGUUGCCGUUCAGGUAUUGGUCAACAGAAUAAAACCCAUCUAUUUACAUGAGUGGAUGAUAUUACCUUCUGUGGAGGAACAGCAUGCCAUCUGUCCUCUAAGUGGUUAGCAAAAGCAUCUGACAUAAUGGCUUGAAGAAGUUCUUUGCACUGGGCUACAAAAUUUCUACCCCAGAAGUCCUGGACAGGAGAAAGGAGCUGGAGCCAUGCAGCAUGCAGAGUGUGCCUGGUGCAGUGCCCUACUUCCUGCCCAUGCGUGGCUGGUGCAUCCAGAGGCUGGUGUUUGCAUGGGCAGUCCCAUGCAGAGCCUGACUGUAUCUGGCCUUCCAUUGGUGAACAGGGCAAUUCCAGGGUAUGGGCUCAGGGCCUGACAACUAUGGGACUCCUCUAUUGACAGCUGUUGAACCUCCUCUGCAGAUAAAUUAACCAAAUGGAGUUUACAUGCAAUGGACAUUUUCCCAGACUUCUUGAUGGCAGUAAGGAAGAAAUAAUAUGAAAUAAGUAUUUCUUGUGCAGUUGAUACUCUGUAUUGAUUUUAUAUCUGGUUGGUACUGGAAUAAGAAGCUGAAAGGUAAUUUAGAAAUGUGCAAAUAUAUUUCUUUUAUCUGAACAUUCUCUUACUCCUUUCUGAAUAGUUAAAGCUAAGGCACCAAUGUUUGUACACAAAGCAAUAAACAUAAUAAUGGAUUUGUUUCAGUAACAUGUAAUUUCGAGGAAGUGAGUACUUUCUGUUGGGAAUAUUAUGGCUUUUAUUAAUUUGUGAGGGCAUGUAUGAGUUCCUCUCCAAGUCAUUGCUCACAUACACACUGUGCAUCUAGUAUUCCCCUGGAAGAUCCCAGCCUGGAAUGUGUGCUACCACUAAAUGUGGUUAGAAGUAACACAUGAGGAAUCCAGAGGCAGGCUUUUCUGAGACUUGCCUGUUUCAAGGUAGUUAUUUUUCAGUUGGUUCACAUUUUUCUUCUUUAGAAGAGGAAUUAUUCCUAAAGAAUAUUGAACCUUGAAGAUGGGCAUUUCCAGGUGGAACCGUGGAUGGACUACAUGGGGUAACUCUUGUGAGAGGCCAAUCCUGAAACAUUGAUUCCUAAUAGGGUCGAUUCAAAACCUAAUACCACCUUUUCAAAGUUUCAUCUUGGUCACUCAGAGGGCUCCUGGUCUAGUGAGAGAAAGCCUUGAAGAGAGAGAGGCACCAGAUUUAUUUUUUUUUUAAUUAUUAUUAUUUUUAAUUAAUUUGUGUCCUCCUAAUCUCUUCUGGAGAAACUUCUUUCUUAACUCUGGAAGAAACAAACUUCCUACCAGCCUAGGCGGAAUGCUCCACCAUAAUACUAUAAGCCUUGCUGUACACAUACAGUAAAGUUCAGGCUAAAUUUACA